RNAcentral lists this ribosomal RNA (255 nucleotides) under uncultured bacterium. RNAcentral's name for it is "partial 16S ribosomal RNA". It matches the Rfam family "Bacterial small subunit ribosomal RNA", at positions 526 to 779 of the family's 1533-position model. The record is from RNAcentral.
CGUAGGUGGCGAGCGUUGUCCGGAAUUACUGGGCGUAAAGGGCGUGUAGGCGGCCUUUUAAGUCAGAUGUGAAAUCUCAGGGCUUAACCCUGAAACUGCAUUUGAAACUGGAGGGCUUGAGGAUCGGAGAGGGCAGUGGAAUUCCCAGUGUAGCGGUGAAAUGCGUAGAUAUUGGGAGGAACACCAGUGGCGAAGGCGACUGCCUGGACGACACCUGACGCUGAGGCGCGAAAGCUAGGGGGAGCAAACGGGAUU